RNAcentral lists this ribosomal RNA (1427 nucleotides) under metagenome. RNAcentral describes it as "bacterial SSU rRNA". It matches the Rfam family "Bacterial small subunit ribosomal RNA". The record is from RNAcentral.
GGCCUUCGGGUGCUGACGAGCGGCGGACGGGUGAGGAAUGCAUAGGAAUCUGCCUAUUAGUGGGGGAUAACACGGGGAAACUCGUGCUAAUACCGCAUACGUCCUACGGGAGAAAGCGGGGGAUCUUCGGACCUCGCGCUAAUAGAUGAGCCUAUGCCGGAUUAGCUAGUUGGUAGGGUAAAGGCCUACCAAGGCGACGAUCCGUAGCUGGUCUGAGAGGAUGAUCAGCCACACUGGGACUGAGACACGGCCCAGACUCCUACGGGAGGCAGCAGUGGGGAAUAUUGGACAAUGGGCGCAAGCCUGAUCCAGCCAUGCCGCGUGUGUGAAGAAGGCCUUCGGGUUGUAAAGCACUUUAAGUGGGGAGGAAGGUUAGUGGUUUAAUACGCUACUAAAUUGACGUUACCCACAGAAUAAGCACCGGCUAACUCUGUGCCAGCAGCCGCGGUAAUACAGAGGGUGCAAGCGUUAAUCGGAAUUACUGGGCGUAAAGCGCGCGUAGGUGGUUUUGUAAGUUGAAUGUGAAAUCCCCGGGCUUAACCUGGGAAUGGCAUCCAAAACUGCACGACUAGAGUAUGGGAGAGGGAGGUAGAAUUCCAGGUGUAGCGGUGAAAUGCGUAGAGAUCUGGAGGAAUACCGGUGGCGAAGGCGGCCUCCUGGCCUAAUACUGACACUGAGGUGCGAAAGCGUGGGUAGCAAACAGGAUUAGAUACCCUGGUAGUCCACGCCGUAAACGAUGAGAACUAGCCGUUGGUCUCCUUGAGAGGUUAGUGGCGCAGCUAACGCGAUAAGUUCUCCGCCUGGGGAGUACGGCCGCAAGGUUAAAACUCAAAUGAAUUGACGGGGGCCCGCACAAGCGGUGGAGCAUGUGGUUUAAUUCGACGCAACGCGAAGAACCUUACCUGGUCUUGACAUCCACGGAAUCCUGCAGAGAUGUGGGAGUGCCUUCGGGAACCGUGAGACAGGUGCUGCAUGGCUGUCGUCAGCUCGUGUUGUGAAAUGUUGGGUUAAGUCCCGUAACGAGCGCAACCCUUGUCCUUAGUUGCCAGCGAGUAAUGUCGGGAACUCUAAGGAGACUGCCGGUGACAAACCGGAGGAAGGUGGGGACGACGUCAAGUCAUCAUGGCCCCUUACGACCAGGGCUACACACGUGCUACAAUGGCCGGUACAGAGGGUUGCCAAGCCGCGAGGUGGAGCCAAUCCCGAAAAGCCGGUCGUAGUCCGGAUUGCAGUCUGCAACUCGACUGCAUGAAGUCGGAAUCGCUAGUAAUCGCAGAUCAGAAUGCUGCGGUGAAUACGUUCCCGGGCCUUGUACACACCGCCCGUCACACCAUGGGAGUGGGUUGCACCAGAAGUAGUUAGCUUAACCGCAAGGGGAGCGAUUACCACGGUGUGAUUCAUGACUGGGGUGAAGUCGAAACAAGGUA